This 280-nucleotide ribosomal RNA is filed under the name uncultured bacterium. RNAcentral describes it as "partial 16S ribosomal RNA". It matches the Rfam family "Bacterial small subunit ribosomal RNA", at positions 77 to 354 of the family's 1533-position model. The record is from RNAcentral.
UAGCAAUACUCCCGCCGGCGACCGGCGCACGGGUGAGUAACACGUAUGGAACCUGCCCGCAGCAGGGGGAUAAUCGGGGGAAACCCCGUCUAAUACCGCGUAACGACCCGGAGGGGCAUCCCUUCGGGUCCAAAGGUUUACCGGCUGCGGAUGGCCAUGCGUCGCAUUAGCUUGUUGGCGGGGUAACGGCCCACCAAGGCGACGAUGCGUAGGGGUUCUGAGAGGAAGGUCCCCCACACUGGUACUGAGACACGGACCAGACUCCUACGGAAGGCAGCAG